RNAcentral lists this ribosomal RNA (520 nucleotides) under uncultured Glomus. RNAcentral describes it as "SSU rRNA". It matches the Rfam family "Eukaryotic small subunit ribosomal RNA", at positions 569 to 1091 of the family's 1831-position model. The record is from RNAcentral. Lineage: Eukaryota; Fungi; Glomeromycota; Glomeromycetes; Glomerales; Glomeraceae.
AGCAGCCGCGGUAAUUCCAGCUCCAAUAGCGUAUAUUAAAGUUGUUGCAGUUAAAAAGCUCGUAGUUGAAUUUCGGGAUCAAUGCGUCGGUCGUGCCUUCGGUACGUACUAGCGUCAUUGAUUCCUCCCUUCUGAAGAACCGUGAUGUCAUUAAUUUGGUGUUACGGGAAAUCAGGACUGUUACCUUGAAAAAUUAGAGUGUUUAAAGCAGGCUAACGCUUGAAUACAUUAGCAUGGAAUAAUGAAAUAGGACGUUCGAACCUAUUUUGUUGGUUUCUAGGAUCGACGUAAUGAUUAAUAGGGAUAGUUGGGGGCAUUAGUAUUCAAUUGUCAGAGGUGAAAUUCUUGGAUUUAUUGAAGACUAACUACUGCGAAAGCAUUUGCCAAGGAUGUUUUCAUUAAUCAAGAACGAAAGUUAGGGGAUCGAAGACGAUCAGAUACCGUCGUAGUCUUAACCAUAAACUAUGCCGACUAGGGAUCGGAUGAUGUUAAUUUUAUAAUGACUCAUUCGGCGCCUUAC